Molecule: long non-coding RNA, 715 nt
Organism: Ruditapes philippinarum (Manila clam)
Lineage: Eukaryota; Metazoa; Mollusca; Bivalvia; Venerida; Veneridae
Exons: 3
Source: RefSeq, a predicted model, not a curated record
AGGUAAUAUUUCAGUGAUUGAUGUUUUAUUUUUUAACUAUUUCAGGUGUGUAUUUAGAAAACAUCAAGGACUGUUGUACAUGCAAAGAAAGCACAUGUCAAAAAAAGAAGUAAAAGUAUGUAAGAUGUACCAUCAAUUUAAGUAAUAAAGGUUGUCAGAAUACAGAUUACAGACAGAAGAAAAAACAACAACAAAAAACAUAAGAUUUAAAGACAGAAAAGGGACAAGCAUGUUCUGACACAAAACAUGUAUUCAACUUUAAAUAAGAGGAGGAAAAAUCAAUGGCAGCGACACAGAUGUUGAAGAAAGAAUAUUUAUCAGAACACUAAUGCAAGAACUGUCAACAACACUUGAUUUUUAAAAAAAUAUUUCCAAUAGUUAGAAUCAUUAAAUUCUAAUUAAAGUUAUGCCAUACAGAAUACAGGCAGUUAAACUGUAUCAAUGAAUGUGAAAAAGACUUGAUAUCUGACAUUUGAGUGGAGUGCCUUAAUAAAAUGAAAACUAAAAGACAAUUUUUAAUCGCCUGAUAAAAAUUUUCAAUAUGACAAAUUUUUAAUGGUUUCAAUGCAGUAAUAAAAAGAUAAAUGAAUUGUGCAUAAAUGAAAACACAAACAAUUUUAUAGAAAAAAAUAUGUUAAGUUAAUUUGGAAACAAAGUCACAAGCACGUUUGAAAUGAAAUGUAUUUAUGCAUAUGGAAUAAAUUAAAAAAAGGUG